Non-coding RNA from Trichonephila clavipes, 82 nucleotides. The record is from the annotation of a GenBank genome assembly. Lineage: Eukaryota; Metazoa; Arthropoda; Arachnida; Araneae; Nephilidae.
ACUUUGCCGCUCCAACCAAUAUGGUGGUUACGACACUUGACUUGUAAUCGAGUGGGCUCGGGUUCGAAUCCCGAAUAAGAUA